GAUGAACGCUGGCGGCGUGCCUAAUACAUGCAAGUCGAGCGAACAGACGCGGAUCUUGCUCCUCUGACGUUAGCGGCGGACGUGUGAGUAACACGUGGAUAACCUACCUAUCAGACUGGUAUCACUUCGGGAAACCGGAGCUAAUACCGGAUAAUAUAUUGAUCCGCAUGGUUCAAUAGUGAAAGACGGUUUUGCUGUCACUUAUAGAUGCAUCCGCGCCUCUUUAGCUAGUUGGUAAGGUAACGGCUUACCAAGGCGACGAUGCGUAGCCGACCUGAGAGGGUGAUAGGCGACACUGGAACUGGGACACGGUCCAGACGCCUAAGGGAGGCAGCAGUAGGGAAUCGUCCGCAAUGGGCGAAAGCCUGACGGAGCAACGCCGCGUGAGUGAUGAAGGUCUUCGGAUCGUAAAAAUCUGUUAUGAGGGAAGAACAGAUGUGGAAGUAACUAUGCACGGCGUGACGGUACCGAAUCAGAAAGCAACGGCUAACUACGUG
Molecule: ribosomal RNA, 497 nt
Filed under: uncultured bacterium
Lineage: Bacteria
Description: partial 16S ribosomal RNA
Rfam family: Bacterial small subunit ribosomal RNA
Source: RNAcentral